RNAcentral lists this ribosomal RNA (253 nucleotides) under uncultured bacterium. RNAcentral's name for it is "partial 16S ribosomal RNA". It matches the Rfam family "Bacterial small subunit ribosomal RNA", at positions 524 to 776 of the family's 1533-position model. The record is from RNAcentral.
UACGUAGGGGGCAAGCGUUGUCCGGAAUCAUUGGGCGUAAAGAGCGUGUAGGCGGCCCGGUAAGUCCGCUGUGAAAGUCCAGGGCUCAACCCUGGGAUGCCGGUGGAUACUGUCGGGCUCGAGUCCGGAAGAGGAUUGUGGAAUUCCUGGUGUAGCGGUGAAAUGCGCAGAUAUCAGGAGGAACACCAAUGGCGAAGGCAGCACUCUGGGACGUGACUGACGCUGAGACGCGAAAGCGUGGGGAGCAAACAGG